Molecule: ribosomal RNA, 406 nt
Filed under: uncultured bacterium
Lineage: Bacteria
Description: partial 16S ribosomal RNA
Rfam family: Bacterial small subunit ribosomal RNA
Source: RNAcentral
AUUGAACGCUGGCGGCAGGCCUAACACAUGCAAGUCGAGCGAGUGGCGGACGGGUGAGUAAUGUCUGGGAAACUGCCUGAUGGAGGGGGAUAACUACUGGAAACGGUAGCUAAUACCGCAUACCCUCAGAUGUGCCCAGAUGGGAUUAGCUAGUAGGUGGGGUAAUGGCUCACCUAGGCGACGAUCCCUAGCUGGUCUGAGAGGAUGACCAGCCACACUGGAACUGAGACACGGUCCAGACUCCUCCGGGAGGCAGCAGUGGGGAAUAUUGCACAAUGGGCGAAAGCCUGAUGCAGACAUGCCGCGUGUGUGAAGAAGGCCUUCGGGUUGUAAAGGACUUUCAGCGGGGAGGCGUUACUCGAAGAAGAAGCACCGGCUAACUCCGUGCCAGCAGCCGCGGUAAUUC